This 332-nucleotide ribosomal RNA is filed under the name uncultured Arenimonas sp. RNAcentral's name for it is "bacterial SSU rRNA". It matches the Rfam family "Bacterial small subunit ribosomal RNA", at positions 568 to 898 of the family's 1533-position model. The record is from RNAcentral. Lineage: Bacteria; Pseudomonadati; Pseudomonadota; Gammaproteobacteria; Lysobacterales; Lysobacteraceae.
UGCGUAGGUGGUGCGUUAAGUCUGUCGUGAAAGCCCCGGGCUCAACCUGGGAAUGGCGAUGGAUACUGGCGCGCUAGAGUGCGGUAGAGGAGAGUGGAAUUCCCGGUGUAGCAGUGAAAUGCGUAGAGAUCGGGAGGAACAUCAGUUGCGAAGGCGGCUCUCUGGACCAGCACUGACACUGAGGCACGAAAGCGUGGGGAGCAAACAGGAUUAGAUACCCUGGUAGUCCACGCCCUAAACGAUGCGAACUGGACGUUGGGAGCAACUAGGCUCUCAGUGUCGAAGCUAACGCGUUAAGUUCGCCGCCUGGGGAGUACGGUCGCAAGACUGAA